RNAcentral lists this unclassified non-coding RNA (1791 nucleotides) under uncultured fungus. Its description in RNAcentral is "sequence contains 18S rRNA gene, ITS1, 5.8S rRNA gene, ITS2, 28S rRNA gene". The stretch from base 736 to 1791 matches the Rfam family "Eukaryotic large subunit ribosomal RNA", at positions 1 to 961 of the family's 3401-position model. The record is from RNAcentral. Lineage: Eukaryota; Fungi.
AUGUGGAUCAUUCUUGGGUUACAACAUACAAAUCUAUAUAUCUGUUGUUGUUCCUUUGGAAUCAAUCUCAAUAUAUCUAGAUAGCACCUCUCUCUCAUUAUUUCUAUAGUGAGUAAGAGAGUUGCUGGGGAAUUCACCAUAGAAGGCGAUCGCCGUGUCUAUGUGGAUGUAUACAUCUCACACACACACGACCGCUCGAUAUAUACCUAUGUAUAUAGAUCCUUCUCCCACUUCCAUGGACAAGUCGGUAGUCUGACUAUCGAUCUGGCCAUGGGGGCGGCUGGGUUGCGGGGGUGGUGAAUGCAACCUUCCAGUCGUUUCAAUACAACGCUCAACGAUGGAUGUCUCGGCUUGGUGAUCGAUGAAGGACGCAGCGAAGUGCGACAAGUGUCAUGACUUGCAGAUUCCCGAGAGCUGACAAAUUUCUGAAUGCAAAUGGCGGCCGCUAACUCGGCCAUGUAUUGUAGAGUGUAGUUGUUCCUACUCAUCAUCCCCUUGGACCCAGAGAGGUGGGGUAAGUCUUCUCGUGCCCCAUCUCUCGUCCAAGGAGGCAUCUGCGCUUGCGCAUUCUCAAGAUUGUGCGAGUGUGAAAAUCAAGAGGGGGGAGAAAGUCUUCACAUCUGUGUAAAAACAUUUGUGGGGACCUUUCUUUCCUACUUCGAACACGCAAAACUGUUUUGAAGUAGCUCAACUCUUCAUAUCUAUAUAUCACAUAUAUAGAUAUAUAUCUAACCAUCCACCUCUGCAAUGCAGGAGAACCCGCUGAACUUAAGCAUAUCAUUUAGCGGAGGACAAGAAAACAACCGUGAUUCCCUGAGUAACGGCGAGUGAACAGGGAACAGCCUAUGCUUGAAUCCGCGGUGGAAGGAACCGGAAGCCGUGGAAUUGUAGUGCAAGGACCGAUGGGUGUCUCCACAGACAGACGAAGCGUACUAGAACGUGCCACCAUGGAGGGCGAUCGUCCCGUCCCGUCUGUUCGCGUGGGGGCUACAUCCCUGAGGCUCCAAGAGUCGCGCAGUUUGAUAGUGCUGUGCAAACCGCAGGUGUAUCUCUGCGAAGGCUAAAUAUUGCACCAAGACCGAUAGCGAACAAGUAGAGUGAUCGAAAGAUGAAAAGCACUUUGGAAAGAGAGUGAAAAAGCCCCUGAAAUCGUUGAGCGCCAAGGGUACGAGACCCAUUUGGCCGCCUUGCGUAAGCGAGGCAUGUCAGUACCAGUUGAUGCCUUCUGCGCCGGGUUCGUCGUCGGAGUCCUUCGGGCCUUCGAGGCGCGACUUGGAUCGCAGCGAGGUGCCGACUGGGGACCUUACGGGCCGGAGCUGAAAAUCGUUGCUGGGGUUACGGAUCUGAAGCGUGCGGUGCUUUCUCCGGGAGGUGCUCAUGCCAAGGUUCAGUGGCUUCACGCGGUCGCAAGCGAUCGGUCUUUGCUGACACCGGUGCUCUGCCGGGGAGAUGGUCUUUUACCACCCGUCUUGAAACACGGACCAAGGAGUCUACCUAAUGGGCGAACCUUUGAGUGUUCAAACUCAACAAGGUGGAAUGAAAGUGGGUUCCCGUGAAGCGGCGAGGCCUUCUCGCAUGCAUGCAACGGGGCACGGUCCUUAUCGUAUGUGACAGGGAUCUGAAGCAAAGUCCAUUAGCUGGGACCCGAAAGAUUGCGAGCUUUUCCUGGGCCGAUGGAAGUCAGGGGAAACCUUGAUGGACGAUCGAACGCAGUGCUGACGUGCAAAUCGCUUGUCAGAUCUGGGUAAAGGGGCGAAAGACUCAUCGAGCAAUCUAGUAGCUGGUUCCCUC